This 601-nucleotide ribosomal RNA is filed under the name Trichoderma longibrachiatum. RNAcentral's name for it is "eukaryotic LSU rRNA". The stretch from base 215 to 368 matches the Rfam family "5.8S ribosomal RNA". Lineage: Eukaryota; Fungi; Ascomycota; Sordariomycetes; Hypocreales; Hypocreaceae. The record is from RNAcentral.
ACGUCCCAAACCCCAAUGUGAACGUUACCAAUCUGUUGCCUCGGCGGGAUUCUCUUGCCCCGGGCGCGUCGCAGCCCCGGAUCCCAUGGCGCCCGCCGGAGGACCAACUCCAAACUCUUUUUUUCUCUCCGUCGCGGCUCCCGUCGCGGCUCUGUUUUAUUUUUGCUCUGAGCCUUUCUCGGCGACCCUAGCGGGCGUCUCGAAAAUGAAUCAAAACUUUCAACAACGGAUCUCUUGGUUCUGGCAUCGAUGAAGAACGCAGCGAAAUGCGAUAAGUAAUGUGAAUUGCAGAAUUCAGUGAAUCAUCGAAUCUUUGAACGCACAUUGCGCCCGCCAGUAUUCUGGCGGGCAUGCCUGUCCGAGCGUCAUUUCAACCCUCGAACCCCUCCGGGGGGUCGGCGUUGGGGAUCGGCCCCUCACCGGGCCGCCCCCGAAAUACAGUGGCGGUCUCGCCGCAGCCUCUCCUGCGCAGUAGUUUGCACACUCGCACCGGGAGCGCGGCGCGGCCACAGCCGUAAAACACCCCAAACUUCUGAAAUGUUGACCUCGGAUCAGGUAGGAAUACCCGCUGAACUUAAGCAUAUCAAUAAGGCAAGAGGAA